This is an RNA transcript of Panicum virgatum (switchgrass), 5357 nucleotides long. RefSeq lists it as uncharacterized. The record is from RefSeq and is a predicted model, not a curated record. The transcript is spliced from 7 exons. Lineage: Eukaryota; Viridiplantae; Streptophyta; Magnoliopsida; Poales; Poaceae.
CUAUUUCUGUAUACCAAAACUCUUCCCUCAAGAGGCCACGUUUCCGCCUGCCUUUGGCCGUCAGAUUGCGGCGCCAAUGCAUCCAUCCGUCCAUUGCAGCGGAGGUUUUCUCGAGCCUUCCUUCCUUGCUCUUAUCCUCUUCCUCCGGCCACCUCACAGGGAUCCAAUCGUCCUCUCCCUCAGCGGCCUCUCCUUCAGGCUGGCUUUCUUCUUCUCUGUGACCUGACGUUCGCUGCCACGGCAACCUCUUCUCCGGCGCCUGCUCCCUGCAGCUGCAGCCCAGCGAGCGCUGUGCUCCCCCAUGCCGUCGAAGCUCUUUCCGGUUCCCCCUGUUACGCUAUGGCGUGCUCAACAACUCCAGUAAAGUAUCGUAGAGAAUCAUCUUGAACUAUGGACAAAGCACGCAAGCGGAAGGCUGCUCAUACAGGGAGACCCCCCAAUGAACAAUUGACGAAUAAUGAUUCAUCCAUACUGGCUUCUCAGUUAGGAAGCUCCAUUUCAGAAUCUCUCCUUCCAUCACAGAGAGUGGUCAGACAACGAGCCCUGCUAUCUUCAGAUUUGCCACGGCCAGAGUCAUCUACUGCUGCUGAAACACGUAAGAAACGUAAGGCCGCUAUAGCUUCUGGAAGACAGGAAGAGAAUUCAGGGCCUCCUCUUCAUAACCGACACCGCCGCACUGUUUUCGCACCCCUUCAUUUGGGAAGCCAGAAUCAAACAUGCUCAUAUUGUGGUGCUCGCUUUUGGGCUGAGGAACGAGUACGUGGACAUGGACGGACAACUUCUCCAGUAUAUAACAAAUGCUGCAGAGGAGGAAGCAUUCUACUACCUCCUUACAAGCCACCUCCGGAGCCCUUACUUGGCCUUCUGACAGGAAAGGAUCCUGCACUAUCAAGACAUUUCUUUGAUAACAUCAGACGAUACAAUUCUAUGUUUGCCAUGACUUCUAUGGGCGUCAAUGUCAUAAAUUCUAUCAACGAUGCCCGUGGCCCUUAUGUCUUCAAAAUUAGUGGCCAACUAUGUCAUCGAAUAGGAUCACUAAUUCCAAACGAUGAAGCAAGACCUGAGUAUUGCCAGUUAUAUAUCUUUGACACUGAUAAUGAGGUUGGAAACAGAAUAGCUGUUGCAACAACCUCAAACAGUGACUUCCAACCAAACGAAGCUAUUGUUGCUUCCUUGAUAACCAUGCUUGAUACACACAACUCAGUUGUGCAAGUUUUUUGAACUGCCCGUGAUAGGCUAUCUAUGCAGCCAAACAACCAAUCUGGUGAACCAGAUGAUCGUUAUGCUGUCAAGCUAUUUUCCACCCCAACCCAGCAUGGCAACAUUUAUAGUGACCCAGUUACAUCUGAAGUGGUCGGCUUGGUUGUGAAUGAUUUAGGGACCACUGAAGAGGGGCGUGACCUAAUAGUGCAAGAUCACUCAUGUCAGCUCCAAAGAGUAAAAGAAACACAUUGCAAAUUUAUGGCAAUGCAAUAUCCACUGUUGUUUCCUUACGGAGAAGAUGGUUUCCAUGAGAAUAUUAAGUACAGAAGAUGUAGUCGCUCCAACAAGAUCAAGCGAAAGGUUGUCACCAUGGCAGAAUAUUAUUCAUACAGAUUGCAUGAUAGAGCCGACGAUUUCAAUACCCCUUUGCGAUCCAAGAGACUAACCCAAGCUUAUGAAGUUGAUGCGUACUGUUGUGUCGAGGAUGACCGCCUGAGAUAUUACAGGAAGAAAUCAUUUCAAAAAAAAUACAGGUCCAGCCCAUAUAAAGCUUUAGUUGAAGCGGUCAGUAGUGGGAUCACUCAAGGUUCAGCUGCAGGGCAACGAAUUUACUUGCCAGGAUCAUUCACUGCAAGUCCCUGCUACUACUACCAAAACUAUCAAGAUUGUGUUGCACUAUGUCGUAGGUUCGGAUGCCCACAUCUAUUCAUCACAUUCACAUGUAAUGCUUUGUGGCCAGAAAUUGAUGAAGCUUUGGCAUUCAUACCCGGACAACAAGCUUCUGAUAGACCUGAUAUUGUUGACAGAGUUUUUGAAAUGAAACUCAAACUACUCAUACAAGAUAUAGAGAAGUAUGAAUUCUUUGGACCUACACUUGGAGGUACUGCUCUUCUCAUCCCCUAAUAUAUUAUGCUUUACCACUUACUCCAAAGUUUCUAAAUCGUAAUAUGUUGCCUUGCACAGUUGUCUACACGAUUGAGUUCCAAAAACGAGGCCUUCCACAUGUCUGAUUCUAUGGCUUAAAAAAGAUAAGCCUAUUGAUGCUGCUCAAAUAGAUGCCUUUAUAUCCGCACAACUGCCAAAUCCAUCAGUUGAUCCGUUAGGUUUUGAGGCCGUUUCUAAGUUCAUGAUUCAUGGUCCUUGCGGAUCCUUAAAUACGUCCUCCCCUUGCAUGGUUGAUGGAAAAUGUGAUAAGUUCUAUCCAAAGAAUUUUUCUGAAACCACUACUAUAGCAGGUAAUGGUCAGGUUACUUACGCCCGCCCAAAUAAUGGUAUUACUACUGAGAAAAAUGGAGUAAGAAUUGAUAACACAUUUGUGGUACCACACAAUGUAGACUUAUUAGUUAAAUAUCAAGCACAUAUAAAUGUUGAAAGUGUUAAUCGCAAUGGAAUGGAAAAGUAUUUGUUCAAGUAUACAAACAAAGGACCUGAUUGUGCCAAAGCUGCACUCAAGAGAAAAAGAGGUAAUCCAGACUCUCCUACGGAGAUAAUUGAUGAAAUAAAGGAAUAUCUAGACUGCAGAUAUGUUACUCCCAACGAUGCUGCAUGGCGAUUGCUUCAGUUUGAUAUCCAUUACACUAAUCCAUCAGUAGAACGCCUUGCUGUUCAUCUCCCGCUAGAAAAUGGUGUUCUUUAUACAGAGGAUGACUAUCUUGAUCAGGUCAUUGAGAAUCCAUCUAAUCUCAUAACUAAGCUAACGGCAUGGUUUGAUGCCAAUCAACAAUAUCCAGAAGCCAGACAGUACACCUAUGUUGAAUUUCCUGAACACUGGACAUGGCAUGGUGAUGGAAAAUAUUGGCAUAUACGCCGAAAUAGUCGUGGGAAGGUUGGUCGAAUUGCUAAUGUUGCUCCUAACGAAGGAGAAAGAUUUUACCUGCGCAUGUUGUUGCAUAUAGUCAAAGGAGCACAAAGCUAUUCUGAUCUCCGCACUGUUGCCAGCCAUAAGCACCCAACAUUUCGUGCUGCAUGUGAAGCAUUGGGCUUGCUGGGUGACGAUCAAGAAUGGUUCCAUGCUAUGGCUGAUGCAGCACACUGGGCACUUCCCUAUCAAUUGCGACAGCUGUUUGUCACAUUACUGCUUUUUUGUGAAGUCACCAACCCUGUUAAAUUGCUUGAUGAAUACACACAGGCAAUGGGAGAAGAUAUUGCAUAUCAUGCGAAACAACUGACUCCAGAACUCCCUACAACAACCAUGGACCAACAUAUCAGAUCAUAUGUUUUAGUUGAAUUAGAAAAACUGCUCAAAGAUGCUGGAUAUAGCUUAGAUCGCUUUCACUUACCACAACCAGACCACAGUUCCUCUCGGAUUCUCACCAAUAGAUUCAUUAUAGAAGAACUUAGUUAUAAUUCAAAUGGUGCAUUUGCUGAACUAGAUGAGCAGAUCAAGAGACUGAAUUCAAGCCAGAAAUAUAUUUAUGAUACCAUAGAGCAUUCAGUCUUAAAUGGUUGUGGGCACACUUUCUUUGUUUAUGGUUAUGGUGGGACUGGCAAGACUUUUCUAUGGAAUACUUUGCUCAAUAGUAUUAGAAGCCAAGGAAAGAUAGCUUUAGCAGUUGCAUCUUCAGGCAUAUCAGCUCUGUUACUCCCAGGAGGUCGAACACCCCACUCACGUUUCAGAAUUCCAUUGGACAUCCACGAGCAUUCUGUAUGUGCAAUUAAGAAAAAUACACAGUUGGCUGAGCUAAUACAACAGACAUCCCUGAUUAUAUGGGAUGAAGCACCUGUCAACCAUAGACAUUGCUUCGAAGCACUUGAUCGCACACUAAGAGAUAUCAUGUCGUUCAAUAAUGAUGAUGCUUCCACCAAACAAUUUGGUGGUAUAACAGUUGUGCUUGGUGGUGAUUUUAGGCAAACUUUGCCGGUCAUCCCAAACGCAAGGAAACAACAAAUCAUGAAUGCAGCAAUCACUCGAUCCCGUAUAUGGCCGUGCUGCAAAGUUCUUGAAUUAACUGAAAACAUGAGACUCAACUGCCCAACUCUUUCAGGCCCUGAAAGAAUUGAAUUGCAGAAAUUUGCUGAGUGGCUCCUCUCUAUUGGUGAUGGCACAACUCCUGGCAGUACAAUAGACCAGCCUGAUACAACAUGGGUUCAAAUUCCAGACAACCUUCUAUUGCCACCCGAACAAAGGAACCUUACAGGAUUGAUUUCUUUUGUAUAUGAAACAACUCCACGUGUCACGGAAUUAGCAGCCUAUCUCUGUGAACGAGCAAUAUUGGCACCAACAAAUGAAGUCGCUGCCAUGAUAAAUAAAGAAAUUAUUUGUAAGAUAGCCACAGAAGAAAUGUCAUACUACAGUUCUGAUUCCAUUGAUGAUCCGACAUCAAAUUAUUGCACUAUGGAAUCUUUGUACCCACAAGAGUUCCUUAACACUAUCCAAAUGAGUGGCCUUCCUGACCAUCAUCUACAACUGAAGAUUGGUGUCCCUAUCAUGUUACUUAGAAAUCUGAAUCCAUCCAAAGGUUUGUGCAAUGGAACUAGACUCAUAGUGACACAACUCACUCAUCGUAUAAUUGAAGCUCAGAUAAUCACAGAAAAGGCUACAGGAUCUAAAGCUUACAUUCCAAGAAUAACUUCUGUCUCAUGUGAUCCAAAAUGGCCUUUUAAGAUAAAGCGUCGUCAAUUCCCAGUCCGUGUAUCCUAUGCCAUGACAAUAAACAAAAGCCAAGGACAAACACUUAGCAAAGUUGGCGUCUAUUUACCAAGCCCCGUAUUCUCUCAUGGGCAGCUUUAUGUUGCAUUCUCACGUGUGACAUCACCUACAGGCUUACGUGUGCUCAUUGAGAACAACUCUGAGGGGUAUGAAAACCACACACAUAACGUGGUAUACACUGAGAUUUUCAAUGACCUAACAAGCCGGAGUAAUUAUUAGUUCCAGGUCUUCUACUUUUGGCUGUUUCCAUUCCAAACCACUUGAUCAUCUAUUCCUCCGUUGAUCAAUUAUAUUCUACCAAUAUGCUUAUAGCCAGUCUAACAUGUAUAUCCAAUCAGGUCAUAGGUGUUUCCAAUUCAUCAUAUGACAUACUUUAACCGUGUAUGUUUUUGUCAAUGCAGCAACAAUGCAGCAACUAAAUAUUAAACUUCUGGUGACCAUGUAAAAUUUAAUACGAUCAACCAUGACGUCCACAAAUAAUACCGACUAAAAGGUUUCGUGAUUC